UUUUUUCUCCAUCACACCUUGUGAAGGACAUAGAACUCUUCUUUAGCCAAAAUACACGAUGUGUUUCAUUAAUAAUUAUGGUAUGUUUGUGAAUUUUAGACCUUUAUCUGUUUAGGAAUCAGUGGCCCACACAUGAACUCUGUUUCUUUGCUUCCAGAUCUACUGCCAAAACCUGUGCCUGUUGGCCAAACUUUUUCUGGACCACAAGACAUUAUAUUAUGAUGUGGAGCCCUUCCUGUUCUAUGUUAUGACAGAGGCGGACAACACUGGCUGUCACCUGAUUGGAUAUUUUUCCAAGGAAAAGAAUUCAUUCCUCAACUACAACGUAUCCUGUAUCCUUACUAUGCCUCAGUACAUGAGACAGGGCUAUGGCAAGAUGCUUAUUGAUUUCAGUUAUUUGCUUUCCAAAGUCGAAGAAAAAGUUGGCUCCCCAGAACGUCCACUCUCAGAUCUGGGGCUUAUAAGCUAUCGCAGUUAUUGGAAAGAAGUACUUCUCCGCUACCUGCAUAAUUUCCAAGGCAAAGAGAUUUCUAUCAAAGAAAUCAGUCAGGAG
This 553-nucleotide small RNA is filed under the name Pongo abelii (Sumatran orangutan). Its description in RNAcentral is "retained intron". The record is from RNAcentral. Lineage: Eukaryota; Metazoa; Chordata; Mammalia; Primates; Hominidae.